AGAUUGAACGCUGGCGGCAUGCCUUACACAUGCAAGUCGAACGGCAGCACGGGAGCAAUCCUGGCGGCGAGUGGCGAACGGGUGAGUAAUACAUCGGAACGUGCCCAAUCGUGGGGGAUAACGCAGCGAAAGCUGUGCUAAUACCGCAUAAGAUCUACGGAUGAAAGCAGGGGAUCGCAAGACCUUGCGCGAAUGGAGCGGCCGAUGGCAGAUUAGGUAGUGGUGAGGUAAGGCUCACCAAGCCUUCGAUCUGUAGCUGUCUGAGAGGACGACCAGCCACACUGGACUAGAGACACCGGCCCAGACUCGACGGAGGCAGCAGGUAGGGGUAA
This 332-nucleotide ribosomal RNA is filed under the name uncultured soil bacterium. Its description in RNAcentral is "bacterial SSU rRNA". It matches the Rfam family "Bacterial small subunit ribosomal RNA", at positions 26 to 364 of the family's 1533-position model. The record is from RNAcentral.